Molecule: long non-coding RNA, 306 nt
Filed under: Carica papaya (papaya)
Lineage: Eukaryota; Viridiplantae; Streptophyta; Magnoliopsida; Brassicales; Caricaceae
Description: long non-coding RNA (CPAP_LNC006696)
Source: RNAcentral
UGCCGUGGUUGAUGAUUUGGAAGAAACCGUAGGUUCGUGCGGCGUCUGUGAGUUUCUGGACGGCGGUGGAGCGGCGGCCGGCGAGGUUGAUGAGAGGAAUGGUGAUGGGUUUUGGAGAAGAAGGUGGGCGGAGUGUGGAGAGAAUUUCAGGGGGUUGUAUGAACAUGGUGGGGAGGGAGGUCAGGGAUGAAUCGCAGAGGCCUUUUACUCCAGCCUUCGAUUCAUCAAAUUCUUUUACUUGUUCCAAAUGAUUAACCAUUUUCUUCCUCUCCUUUUUUUCUAAUUUUUUUCUUCUGAUUUUCAAAG